This 252-nucleotide ribosomal RNA is filed under the name uncultured Bacteroidales bacterium. Its description in RNAcentral is "partial 16S ribosomal RNA". It matches the Rfam family "Bacterial small subunit ribosomal RNA", at positions 524 to 776 of the family's 1533-position model. Lineage: Bacteria; Pseudomonadati; Bacteroidota; Bacteroidia; Bacteroidales. The record is from RNAcentral.
UACGUAGGAGGCAAGCGUUAUCCGGAAUGACUGGGCGUAAAGGGUGCGUAGGUGGUUUGACAAGUUGGUAGCGCAACUCCGGGGCUCAACCCCGUCGAGCCGUUGAAACUGGCAGACUUGAGUUGGCGAGAAGUACGCGGAAUGCGCGGUGUAGCGGUGAAAUGCAUAGAUAUCGCGCAGAACUCCGAUUGCGAAGGCAGCGUACCGGCGCCAGACUGACGCUGAGGCACGAAAGCGUGGGGAUCGAACAGG